RNAcentral lists this ribosomal RNA (827 nucleotides) under unidentified archaeon. RNAcentral describes it as "bacterial SSU rRNA". It matches the Rfam family "Archaeal small subunit ribosomal RNA", at positions 227 to 1054 of the family's 1478-position model. The record is from RNAcentral.
AGGUAGUAGUGGGUGUAAUGUACCUACUAGCCUACAACGGGUACGGGUUGUGAGAGCAAGAGCCCGGAGAUGGAUUCUGAGACAUGAAUCCAGGCCCUACGGGGCGCAGCAGGCGCGAAAACUUUACAAUGCGGGAAACCGUGAUAAGGGGACACCGAGUGCUAGCAUCAUAUGCUGGCUGUCCAGGUGUGUAAAAUACACCUGUUAGCAAGGGCCGGGCAAGACCGGUGCCAGCCGCCGCGGUAACACCGGCGGCCCGAGUGGUGAUCGUGAUUAUUGGGUCUAAAGGGUCCGUAGCCGGUUUGGUCAGUCCUCCGGGAAAUCUGACAGCUCAACUGUUAGGCUUUCGGGGGAUACUGCCAGACUUGGAACCGGGAGAGGUAAGAGGUACUACAGGGGUAGGAGUGAAAUCUUGUAAUCCCUGUGGGACCACCUGUGGCGAAGGCGUCUUACCAGAACGGGUUCGACGGUGAGGGACGAAAGCUGGGGGCACGAACCGGAUUAGAUACCCGGGUAGUCCCAGCCGUAAACGAUGCUCGCUAGGUGUCAGGCAUGGCGCGACCGUGUCUGGUGCCGCAGGGAAGCCGUGAAGCGAGCCACCUGGGAAGUACGGCCGCAAGGCUGAAACUUAAAGGAAUUGGCGGGGGAGCACAACAACGGGUGGAGCCUGCGGUUUAAUUGGACUCAACGCCGGACAACUCACCGGGGACGACAGCAAUAUGUAGGCCAGGCUGAAGACCUUGCCUGAAUCGCUGAGAGGAGGUGCAUGGCCGUCGCCAGUUCGUACUGUGAAGCAUCCUGUUAAGUCAGGCAACGAGCGAGACCCA